UAUGACAUUUUGAGUUUUGUAUGAAUCAAAACCUUAUUAAAAUCAGUUUACUGUCUGUCCAUCUUUUUUUUUUGUUGUAAGGAGGUGGAAAUCUUCAAAAGACUCUGGCCUGGACACGACCGAGUGUGGGAUUUUUAACCAUGAAAACCACUGCCGACUCUCCCUCCUGUCUCGUGGAUCCACCAUAAGGAUCUAAGAAUUUUCGUCCCAGAUAUUUUGCGACAUAAAACUAACGACAAAACUCCAGCAGCGUUGGACCAAAAUUAACUGAAUUCUAUCCCCCAUGAUAUGCGGUGCAAUUAACAGUCGGCGCAAGGCAUUUUAUCAGAACCAACAAAUAUGAUCACCAUUUACCUUACGUCUCCACUAUUAACCCAGGACAUAACCGACGAUAAAUUGAUACCUUUAAGUGAUAAAUUCCUAUGCAUUAGUGCCUUAGGAUCUGGAAGCACAGUUAGGAGAUUCGCCAUGGACAGCGAGCAUCACUAUUCACCUGAUAUCGAGAUGCAGUGAAAAAACCUUUAUGCAAAAGAUAGCAGCAGUGUUGCGUGAAUUCUUAGCCAGGAACGGCUGCAGGUGGUCAAACUGGAUUUACAUAAUUGUUGUACUUAGAAAACUGUUGCAGCUCCUUCUGCGAGUAAUCUAUGAUCAUUAAUACCAGUUGAGAAACG
Molecule: long non-coding RNA, 671 nt
Organism: Hermetia illucens (black soldier fly)
Lineage: Eukaryota; Metazoa; Arthropoda; Insecta; Diptera; Stratiomyidae
Exons: 3
Source: RefSeq, a predicted model, not a curated record